Molecule: long non-coding RNA, 884 nt
Organism: Sycon ciliatum
Lineage: Eukaryota; Metazoa; Porifera; Calcarea; Leucosolenida; Sycettidae
Exons: 2
Source: RefSeq, a predicted model, not a curated record
UGAUCACACUGCGCAUGCUCUUGUUCAAGGCUUUUUCCCCAAUCUACUUGUGCGAGCUGGAUGCUUGUGUGCAUGGGGAUCAGGACACAACAUUGGUCUAGAAAGAAUACUUUUUGAUAUUACAAUGAGAGUGAAUAAUCAACGGCUUGUCCACCAACCCCUAAAAUCAAACCUAACUAAACUUUCUCGUUUCGUGAAAAUUGUCGAUAAUGCCGGAUGGCCCAUUACGCAUUUUCCUCGACUUGGAGGACAGCAAAUAACAUCAUGAUGAAGUUUGACAACAGUGUGCAUUCCCAUUUGGCUGUCUUCCCUCACAGAGAUGUGCGCCGUCACUAAGGAAUCAGUAGAUAUAAAAACAGGUCAACCACUCCAUGCUGAGGGAAGGUGCUAUUGGUUACUUGAAGCUCACUUUGCCAUAGCAGCGCACAACAGCGAGACACCGGGAGUGGUCGCCCCCCCAGAGCUGAUACUGGCCAACUACAGCACCUCGAAAUGCACAGGAAGCUCAGUAGUAAAUUUUCAAGGCAACUGUGUGGCACCUGUGAGUGGCAUCGAGGGAACUCCAUGGAGUGGGUAACGCUAAGCACAUCUGAGGCGGCAGGCCACUCCAGUACACAAUCAUCGACGAACUGAACGGAAUGUUCGACCGCUGUCAAGUCUUGCAUGAGUGCCUGGCAUGCCGGAGAGUGAUUUAACUUGCUUUAGCUUGCUGCUUCCGUAUUCACCACUGAUUGGACCUGGCUGUUUGCAGCACAUUGUGAUCAAGUUUUCAGUCGAUUUUUCAGACUUAUUUUCCCCCAUUUUCCCUUUUCAACACCUGGACUAAAACAGGAUGUCAAUAAAAAUGAACACAAAAUGCGGCACUUGCUGAGCGAUGCAUCGAU